Molecule: non-coding RNA, 75 nt
Organism: Gemmatimonadetes bacterium 13_1_40CM_4_69_8
Lineage: Bacteria; Pseudomonadati; Gemmatimonadota
Source: Rfam
AACCGAUUCCGUGGUGAUUUGCGGCGUAUUGCGGCCACGUAAAACAAUCCGCUAAAAGGCCUGCCCGUUGCGGCU